This 566-nucleotide long non-coding RNA is filed under the name Fukomys damarensis (Damara mole-rat). RNAcentral describes it as "lncRNA (ENSFDAG00000027073.1)". The record is from RNAcentral. Lineage: Eukaryota; Metazoa; Chordata; Mammalia; Rodentia; Bathyergidae.
UUACUGGGAGCCAAGUGCUUGAAAGUUCAACAAUAUACUUAUACUAUUCAAAUGGUGGUGGUAGCAAUUUCCAAGAGCUAAAACCCUAAAAUAUGAUUAACUAUUGCACAAUGGGUAGUGAGAAUAUUCAUAAGGUGUCUUAGCCCUAGCAGAGCCUGGUUUCCCAGGCAAUUGGUUAUUACAGACUGGUUCUUUCCAUCUGGGCAACUGCUGCUCAUCUCUAGAUAAUACUACCUUUGAGCUGAUGGUCAAGAAGCUUAUACAUAAUCUGUAAAAUUUGUAGUGCAGACCUAGAGCAAGAUUUGACCAAAGUGUUAUUUUUUCCCAUUACAGCAUAGGUUUGCCACAAAUAACACUAACCAGCUGGUUGUAGCCAAGUAUGUUCAGUAGGCUUUAAAACAUGGAGAAAUCUGGGGUAAAGACCGAAGAAGAUGGAGAAUUAAUGUGUCGGACGAUGUGGCUGAAAUCUAAGAGUACUAUCUUCCAGCCUGUCUGCGAUCACCCGGCGGCGUGCGCGCGAGCUCCCGGCCUGCACGGGAGCUCCCGGCCUACAUGGUGGGAUCAUU